Molecule: small RNA, 215 nt
Filed under: Arabidopsis thaliana (thale cress)
Lineage: Eukaryota; Viridiplantae; Streptophyta; Magnoliopsida; Brassicales; Brassicaceae
Description: ATSL086900
Source: RNAcentral
AAAAUCAUAUAUAUGAAAGUUUGCCAACUCUCUCCAUAUGAUUGACACAUCAUCACUUUAAUAUUUGUCAUGUGUCUAUUAAAUAAUUAAUGUAAGCUAUUGAACUUCUAAUUUAUAGGUUAAUGAUAUAUUUAUUAUUUUAUUUUACAUAUUAUUUUAUUUUACAUAUUUAAUUGUACUAUUACUAAAUUUAUUUUAAUAUUACAUGAUUUUUU